GGACGGUUAGCUCAGCUGGUAGAGCAUCGCCUUCACACGGCGGGGGCCACAGGUUCAAGUCCUGUACCGUCUACCA
RNAcentral lists this transfer RNA (76 nucleotides) under Desulfovibrio psychrotolerans. RNAcentral describes it as "tRNA-Val". It matches the Rfam family "tRNA". Rfam says of the family: Transfer RNA (tRNA) molecules are approximately 80 nucleotides in length. The record is from RNAcentral. Lineage: Bacteria; Pseudomonadati; Thermodesulfobacteriota; Desulfovibrionia; Desulfovibrionales; Desulfovibrionaceae. RNAcentral also lists the same sequence under 2 other names.